UACGUAGGGGGCAAGCGUUGUCCGGAAUCAUUGGGCGUAAAGCGCGUGUAGGCGGCCCGGUAAGUCCGCUGUGAAAGUCGGGGGCUCAACCCUCGAAUGCCGGUGGAUACUGUCGGGCUAGAGUGCGGGAGAGGCGAGUGGAAUUCCUGGUGUAGCGGUGAAAUGCGCAGAUAUCGGGAGGAAUACCGAUGGCGAAGGCAGGUCUCUGGGCUGACACUGACGCUCAUGCACGAAAGCGUGGGGAGCAAACAGG
This 253-nucleotide ribosomal RNA is filed under the name uncultured bacterium. RNAcentral's name for it is "partial 16S ribosomal RNA". It matches the Rfam family "Bacterial small subunit ribosomal RNA", at positions 524 to 776 of the family's 1533-position model. The record is from RNAcentral.